RNAcentral lists this ribosomal RNA (1283 nucleotides) under Scaphanocephalus sp. XN8P3M. RNAcentral describes it as "partial large subunit ribosomal RNA". It matches the Rfam family "Eukaryotic large subunit ribosomal RNA", at positions 77 to 941 of the family's 3401-position model. Lineage: Eukaryota; Metazoa; Platyhelminthes; Trematoda; Opisthorchiida; Heterophyidae. The record is from RNAcentral.
CCCUCAGUAACGGCGAGUGAACAGGGAAAAGCCCAGCACCGAAGCCUGUGGCCAAUUGGUUACUAGGCAAUGUGGUGUUCAGGUCGUUCCGCGAAGGUACUGCUCCAUUCCAAGUCCAGCAAUGAGUCCGGUAAUGUUGACAUGGCCCAAAGAGGGUGAAAGGCCCGUUGGGGUGGAGGUGCAGUAAUGCCGGUGCCUUCCUGGAUAGACCUUGGAGUCGGGUUGUUUGUGAAUGCAGCCCAAAGUGGGUGGUAAACUCCAUCCAAGGCUAAAUACUAACACGAGUCCGAUAGCGAACAAGUACCGUGAGGGAAAGUUGAAAAGUACUUUGAAGAGAGAGUAAACAGUGCGUGAAACCGCUCAGAGGUAAACGGGUGGAGUUGAACUGUGAACUCUGUGGAUUUAGCCGGUGAGUGUGGUUUGAGCUUGGUCAAAUUGGUUGAUACUUGGGGUCUGCGAAGUAGCAGGUCUCCGCCGUUUGGUGGAGAUGCGCGAUACACUUACCAAGUGUUGCGCGCUCCAUAGUUAUUCGGCCAGCUCGCCGGUGCACUUUCGCAGAGUGGUCACCACGACCGGCAUCGCUGUCUGGCUGUUGUGGUUAACCCGGCCGCGCAUUGCCCUUGUGGCUUUGUUUGGUCGGGAUGGCAGGUAGCUCGUUGGCUGGCUUGUGGCUUGCUGCAGGCAAUCAGUCCUCGGGUGUAAUUCGCUGACCACAUCGGUUCUGUGCAGUAUGUCGGAGACGGCGGCUUGUGGUGUGUGCGUGCGUACCAGUUGGCUGGCGUGUCCGGGUUUGGUUGUUAUUUUGCCUGUGUUCACAGGACUAAUGAUAGCUCGGAUUCGUUCGGUUGGCGGUUGCGUGCGUGUCACUUUUUCCAGGGCCAAUAGUCUGUGGUGUUGCGGUAGACUAUCCACCUGACCCGUCUUGAAACACGGACCAAGGAGAGUAACAUGUGCGCGAGUCAUUGGGCGUAACGAAACCCAAAGGCGAAGUGAAAGUAAAGGUCUGGCUUGUCUGGACUGAGGUGAGAUCCUGUCGUUUCUCAUGCGCGGUAUCACCAAGCAUCGAGCGGCAGGCGCAUCACCGGCCCGUCCCAUGGUGUGGUGACCCUUUCAUAGAGUUUGUCACCGGGGCGGAGCAUGAGCGUACAUGUUGAGACCCGAAAGAUGGUGAACUAUGCUUGCGCAGGUUGAAGCCAGAGGAAACUCUGGUGGAGGACCGCAGCGAUUCUGACGUGCAAAUCGAUCGUCAGACGUGAGUAUAGGGGCGAAAGACUAAUCGAACC